Long non-coding RNA from Chiroxiphia lanceolata (lance-tailed manakin), 271 nucleotides. RefSeq lists it as uncharacterized. The record is from RefSeq and is a predicted model, not a curated record. Lineage: Eukaryota; Metazoa; Chordata; Aves; Passeriformes; Pipridae. The transcript has 3 exons.
GAAGGAUUAGCUUUGCACCGAGGAAGUUAAGAUCUAAUACAAACAAAUAGCUAUAACAACUGCAAAGGGAAUUUACAGCAGGACAGUUUACUCCUUGUCUAGAGCCUACCCUGGGUGGGACAGCAUGUGCAAUCAAAGAAUCAGCUUCCCCUGAGGAAAAAUAUGGAGAUGGAUCUCUCCAGGACACAGCUGAGUCUGAUGGCAGGAUAUGGAAAUCCACAUUCUGCAGCUGUUGCAAGGACUCUUGCAGGCCCAGCCCUCAGCACGUUGA